Molecule: small nucleolar RNA, 72 nt
Organism: Limanda limanda (common dab)
Lineage: Eukaryota; Metazoa; Chordata; Actinopteri; Pleuronectiformes; Pleuronectidae
Product: small nucleolar RNA SNORD47
Exons: 1
Source: RefSeq, a predicted model, not a curated record
UACCGGUGAUGACAAGAUUCUGCCAAAUGAAUCUCAUGAUUAUACCUUACCGUUCCAUAUUUCUCUGAGGUU